This 465-nucleotide ribosomal RNA is filed under the name uncultured bacterium. Its description in RNAcentral is "partial 16S ribosomal RNA". It matches the Rfam family "Bacterial small subunit ribosomal RNA", at positions 28 to 507 of the family's 1533-position model. The record is from RNAcentral.
GACGAACGCUGGCGGCGUGCUUAACACAUGCAAGUCGUACGGUAAGGCCCUUUCGGGGGUACACGAGUGGCGAACGGGUGCGUAACACAUGAGUAACCUGCCCACAACUUUGGGAUAACGCUAGGAAACUGGUGCUAAUACUGGAUAUGUGCUCCUGCUGCAUGGUGGGGGUUGGAAAGCUCCGGCGGUUGUGGAUGGACUCGCGGCCUAUCAGCUUGUUGGUGGGGUAGUGGCCUACCAAGGCGGCGACGGGUAGCCGGCCUGAGAGGGUGACCGGCCACAUUGGGACUGAGAUACGGCCCAGACUCCUACGGGAGGCAGCAGUGGGGAAUAUUGCACAAUGGGCGCAAGCCUGAUGCAGCAACGCCGCGGGCGGGAUGACGGCCUUCGGGUUGUAAACCGCUUUCAGCAGGGACGAAGCUUUUUGUGACGGUACCUGCAGAAGAAGCACCGGCUAACUACGUG